UUUAAGGUUUGCAGUGUAUUGGGCUUCCCUUCUGUGAUUGGCGUGUUUGGCAGCAUACACAGGCGGGAGAGGUAAAACAGAUGAGCUUGGCUGAGACAUCAUAUUCAAGAAACCAGAGUGAGCAGAAAAUAAAUGUAUAUCAAGGAAGAGCCAGAAGUGAACGAGCUGUGACUAUGUGAGAUCAUGGUAUUAGUGACUUUCAUCCACUGGGUAUUUAUUUUAUAGUUGUGGUAGUUGUUUUCCAUGGAAAAUAAUGUCAGUUCGUCUCGUAGCAUGUUCUGCAUGCACUCAGAAUCAAAGGAAUCAUCAGAUUGGAAGUUCCUUUAAUAAUACAAACCACUUGCAUCUGAUGCUGAUUUGCCCUUCUUACUGCAGAGGGUCAAGGCUGGAAAUAGUUUGACACCUUUCCAAUGGAAAUUGAAUUUUUGCAGAUGAAGACUAAGACUCUAGGUCUGACCCAGGAGAAGAAAUUAGGUCUCCACAUUUAUCCCUGCUGCUAUUCCAAAACACUGCCAUUUUAAAGAUGGAAAAAGACAAGAAGUUGAAGUGGGAUCAGAGAACAUAGGAACAAAAGUGGGCAUCCUGAAAGGUUUUAAAGCUGUUUUGGAUACCAAAAAUGGCUUGUGCUUUGGAAACUACUUAGUUAUUAAGGCACCUGAUAUCAAAUUAUGUACAAUGACUAUUUGUUAUCAAAUAAAGGAUUGACUUUUAUUCCUAAAUAUUAUGCUCC
Molecule: long non-coding RNA, 730 nt
Organism: Protopterus annectens (West African lungfish)
Lineage: Eukaryota; Metazoa; Chordata; Ceratodontiformes; Protopteridae
Exons: 4
Source: RefSeq, a predicted model, not a curated record